GAUCAUGGCUCAGGAUGAACGCUAGCUACAGGCUUAACACAUGCAAGUCGAGGGGCAGCAUGGUCUUAGCUUGCUAAGGCCGAUGGCGACCGGCGCACGGGUGAGUAACACGUAUCCAACCUGCCGUCUACCCUUGGACAGCCUUCUGAAAGGAAGAUUAAUACAAGAUGGCAUCAUGAGUCCGCAUGUUCACAUGAUUAAAGGUAAUUCCGGUAGACGAUGGGAG
RNAcentral lists this ribosomal RNA (226 nucleotides) under uncultured bacterium. RNAcentral describes it as "partial 16S ribosomal RNA". It matches the Rfam family "Bacterial small subunit ribosomal RNA", at positions 15 to 231 of the family's 1533-position model. The record is from RNAcentral.